CACGUAGGGCGCGAGCGUUGUCCGGAUUUAUUGGGCGUAAAGGGCUCGUAGGCGGUUUGUCGCGUCGAUAGUGAAAGCCCACGGCUUAACCGUGGGUUGGCUGUCGAUACGGGCAGGCUAGAGGUAGGUAUGGGAGAGUGGAAUGUCCGGUGUAGCGGUGGAAUGCGCAGAUAUCGGACGGAACACCGGUGGCGAAGGCGGCUCUCUGGGCCUUACCUGACGCUGAGGAGCGAAAGCGUGGGGAGCGAACAGG
Molecule: ribosomal RNA, 253 nt
Filed under: uncultured bacterium
Lineage: Bacteria
Description: partial 16S ribosomal RNA
Rfam family: Bacterial small subunit ribosomal RNA
Source: RNAcentral